AUACGUAGGGGGCGAGCGUUGUCCGGAAUGAUUGGGCGUAAAGGGCGCGUAGGCGGCCCGGUAAGUCUGGAGUGAAAGUCCUGUUUUUAAGAUGGGAAUUGCUUUGGAUACUGUCGGGCUUGAGUGCAGGAGAGGUAAGUGGAAUUCCCAGUGUAGCGGUGAAAUGCGUAGAGAUUGGGAGGAACACCAGUGGCGAAGGCGACUUACUGGACUGUAACUGACGCUGAGGCGCGAAAGUGUGGGGAGCAAACAGGAUUAGAUUCCCUGAUAGUCCACGCUGUAAACGAUGAAUGCUAGGUGUAGGGGGUAUCGACCCCUUCUGUGCCGCAGUCAACACAAUAAGCAUUCCGCCUGGGGAGUACGGCCGCAAGGUUGAAACUCAAAGGAAUUGACGGGG
Molecule: ribosomal RNA, 397 nt
Filed under: uncultured bacterium
Lineage: Bacteria
Description: partial 16S ribosomal RNA
Rfam family: Bacterial small subunit ribosomal RNA
Source: RNAcentral